RNAcentral lists this ribosomal RNA (463 nucleotides) under uncultured bacterium. Its description in RNAcentral is "partial 16S ribosomal RNA". It matches the Rfam family "Bacterial small subunit ribosomal RNA", at positions 28 to 507 of the family's 1533-position model. The record is from RNAcentral.
GAUGAACGCUGACAGCAUGCUUAACACAUGCAAGUCGAUGGGGAAGUGGUGCUUGCACCAUGGCAACCAUGGCGGACGGGUGAGUAACGCGUAAGGGACUUACCUGCAGGACUGGGAUAACAGGGGGAAACUCCUGACAAGACCGGAUAAUGUCAUGGAGCUGCAUGGCUUUAUGAUGAAAGGAGACGCCUGCGGAGAGCCUUGCGUCCUAUUAGCUAGUUGGUGAGGUAAUGGCUCACCAAGGCGAAGAUAGGUAGCCGGCCUGAGAGGGUGGACGGCCACAAGGGGACUGAGAUACGGCCCUUACUCCUACGGGAGGCGGCAGUGGGGAAUAGUGGACAAUGGGGGCAACCCUGAUCCAGCAAUUCUGUGUGCACGAAGAAGGUUUUCGGAUUGUAAAGUGCUUUCAGCAGGGAAGAAGUAAGUGACGGUACCUGCAGAAGAAGCGACGGCUAAAUACGUG